AGAAUAAAAAUCGAGGCGUCGCUCUUUUUUCUAAGGGUGAUCGCGUCGGAAUUGAGCCGUCUUUCAAAUGUUAAUUCAUGUCAAAGUGGCUUAAAAUUCAUCCAUCCGGUACGAUUAAAGCGUAUUUAAGAUCAAUUUUGUUCAAGAACGCGCGAUGACGUACCAUCUCAUGUAGUACGUUUGACUUGGCGUCGUCAGGAUCAUUCGUAUACGAUACUCAAAC
This 223-nucleotide unclassified non-coding RNA is filed under the name Funneliformis mosseae. Its description in RNAcentral is "partial internal transcribed spacer 2". Lineage: Eukaryota; Fungi; Glomeromycota; Glomeromycetes; Glomerales; Glomeraceae. The record is from RNAcentral.